Molecule: ribosomal RNA, 502 nt
Filed under: uncultured bacterium
Lineage: Bacteria
Description: bacterial SSU rRNA
Rfam family: Bacterial small subunit ribosomal RNA
Source: RNAcentral
GUUUGAUCCUGGCGUCAGGAGUGAACGCUGGCGGCGUGCCUAACACAUGCAAGUCGAGCGAGAAAUCCUGAAUUGAUUCUUCGGAUGAUUUUAGGAUGGAAAGCGGCGGACGGGUGAGUAACGCGUAGGUAACCUGCCCCUGUACAAAGGGAUAGCCACUGGAAACGGUGAUUAAUACCUUAUGAUGCCUCUUUAUCACAUGGUUCGGAGGUUAAAGAUUUAUCGGUACAGGAUGGACCUGCGUCUGAUUAGCUUGUUGGUGGGGUAACGGGCUCACCAAGGCAACGAUCAGUAGCCGACCUGAGAGGGUGAUCGGCCACAUUGGAACUGAGACACGGUCCAAACUCCUACGGGAGGCAGCAGUGGGGAAUAUUGCACAAUGGAGGAAACUCUGAUGCAGCAACGCCGCGUGAACGAUGAAGGCUCUUGGGUCGUAAAGUUCUGUUCUGAGGGAAGAAGAAAGUGACGGUACCUCAGGAGAAAGCCCGGCUAACUACGUGCC